This 410-nucleotide long non-coding RNA is filed under the name Lathyrus oleraceus (garden pea). Its description in RNAcentral is "Pisum sativum (pea) long non-coding RNA (PSAT_LNC036948)". The record is from RNAcentral. Lineage: Eukaryota; Viridiplantae; Streptophyta; Magnoliopsida; Fabales; Fabaceae.
UUACUUUUGUUUACUAACCAAAAGCACAAAAAUGUGUCACUAACAUCUUUUGUUUGAAGCUUGAGUAUCAUCCAAGACACUUUGUGGGUUCUAUUUAGAUGAUCAGUCAACACAAGGGAAUGGCUUGAGAUACUUCCAACAGGUUCAAAUGGGGUCUAUUCAUCAGUCAAAACGUUAAUCUUGAAGGAGCAAAAGUUUGUUCAUGAACUGUCAUGCUCGCUAGGCGAAGCCCACGCAUUUCGAAAAAAAAAACGAAAAACAAAAAACGAAAAAAAAAAGAACGAAAAUACAAUAAAAUAAAAUAAAUAAAUAAAUAAAAUAUAACAGAAAAUUUUGGGCUUGGGCCUCUCUCAUUUAAAGACCACAGGUCCACAAAAAUCAGGUUAUAAAUUCUGAGUUUCAGUGAAACA